This 23-nucleotide small RNA is filed under the name Arabidopsis thaliana (thale cress). RNAcentral describes it as "ATSL132040". Lineage: Eukaryota; Viridiplantae; Streptophyta; Magnoliopsida; Brassicales; Brassicaceae. The record is from RNAcentral.
UAUUUUGUAUGAUCUCCAGAGCA